Long non-coding RNA from Gasterosteus aculeatus aculeatus (three-spined stickleback), 20410 nucleotides. Lineage: Eukaryota; Metazoa; Chordata; Actinopteri; Perciformes; Gasterosteidae. The record is from Ensembl.
GAUGAUAAAUUGACCUUAUACAUGUCACCUUGAAAUUCUCUGUUUGAUUACUUUUGACUGAAAUUAUACGUUCAAAUGUUGGAAAAAUAAGAUUGUAGUAAUCUGCGAUUGUAUUCUAACCCUCUUUAUCUGUAUCUUUGUCUUCCGGUUGUAAAAAAUGGGGUCUAUGAGAAAAUGACCUCCUCUCUCUUGAUUCGUUCCCUCAGUAAACAUUAUUAUUGUGAGUUUAUGUUCUUAACGUGUCACAGUUUAAUCGAGCUGGAAUAACUGGAAGGAUCCUGUACAGUGUCAAAAGAGAAAAGCACAGCUGACACACUGCAUGGCUUUUCCUUCGUCAGCCUGUGAAACCUUUGGGAGGGCCGGCCAAUCAGUUUCAGUCCACAGCGCAGUAUGAUUCAAUGCAAAAAAGGUAUCAAACAUGCAUUAUUACAAUAAAAUAUUAAAUUGUUGGAAAAAAUGUUGAAUAAUUAACAUAAUAAGGACAUCAUAUUCAAACAAUUCAGUAUAUUAAUGAAUAUUUACGUAACGGUAUAUAUAAAACAGUAUUCGGAAUAUGAUAUAACUACCAUAUCUGUUAUAAAUAUCUAAUAUGAAUAUCUAUAAUAAAUAUAUCGUAUUAGAGGAUAAAUAUAUUACAAUAUGAAUAUAUUUAUAUAAAAUGUAUCAGAACAUGUAUAUAUAUAUAUAUAUUUAUGCAAAUACAGGGCGUUAGCAUGUAGCUAACUAGCUAAACAUCCCGGCGUAGAAGUCUACAGAAGCCUCAUAUAUCUCCUUCCCUUCCACGCCGGUCCGCGGUCUGACCGUGAGGUCGGGCUGGUCUGGUCCCGCUGUCUUUCCUCUGGUCCUUCUCUCUAGCGAGUUGGGGGUCGGGUCUUCUCGGAGGACACUGCCGGUGGACGCUCUCGUUAUGUUGUCAAACGGCGCGUCGGAGACUCGCCCUGACAGAGCGCAGCGCAGGGCGCCGAAGGGCCCAAACCUCAGUGUAUUUUAGAUGAUGUCACUCAUUUAUCUUUCAAUUGCAAUCAAUCACCCAAGUUACUGAUAGAUAAUGUCUAAUUUACAUAUUCAAACAGAACUUAAAACUUCAAAACUACAAAAAAAAUAAUUUUCUUGAAAUAAGUAAUCAACUGGGGAAUUUUUGCGUUGAUACAUAUUGGUUCAUCAUUUAAACUAUUCGCCCGUGGUCUAUAAAAUGGAUGCAGCUUUGUAAAACAUUUAGGCCAUUUCUUCUACUUCUGAUUUAGCUCGGACUUGGCGCCACAAAUCUCCACUUCAGCAGUUCUCACAUCUAACUUUCCAUUCAUUCCCAUCUAUUUCAAAAGUUUUAAUUGGGUUUGUUCAUAUAUCAUUCAUAACACAAUAUAUACAAGUAUUACUAUAGACAAGCCAUCAUGGAUUCCUUAUUUAAUGGCUGUUGAUAGUAUUUUCUGAUUUAUCGACAGAUACAAAUAUAUGUAAAAAAUCCUGUAAAGUAUCAGCAAAAAUAUGAAAUAAAUAAAUAAAUGAAAUAACAAUUUUGAGCCUAGCUUUAUCAAAUGUUCAAAUGUAAAAGCAUAGAGGGAGAGCUAAGGAAUGUUUCGGGUUCAAUGGUGCCUCUUACAAUACUUGGUCUUUGUUUUCUCUGCGAAGGGUUUGUUUCCAGUGAAGAGGGAAGUUUAUCUUGAAAAUACCCUUUGCUGUAAGCAGCAGACAUUUUAUUGACACAAUUUUUCGAAAAAUAGGUUUAUAUUGCAUGAGUUGUAAUGUAGUAAAUUCAUAUUUUUUAGUAUGUUUAAUUUCAAUAUAAUCCCUUUAAGGUUUUUAAUUUGUUUCAUGGUGUUACAUAACAUUUUAAGAGGCCUCAUGGUCUGCAAUUGAGCCAGGUGCUCUCUUUGUAUCCCAGGACACAUCAAUAAUUGUAUCCUUUGAUAGGCACUCCUCUGAAAACAGCAGUGGGAAACCCAUCUUUAAAAAAAUCAAUUUCAAUGAUAUUCCAAUUAUUGUUAUCAAUGGUCCUGUACUGUGACACAAAGGGUUGUCUUCUCCUGGUUCCUUUUUUGUUGUUGUUAAACAAGAUCCUGCUUUUUUAGCUUAUCCUUCAUGAAAGUUUGUCUUUUUUCUUUGUUUCACUGGUUAAAUUAUAGUUUCCCAUUUCUUUACACAGUCUAAUUUUUAUUAAAAACUGCAAGGUCUUUUAAGGGUUGUUGUAGAGGGCAGACCAGACCGUGCUCUACAGUAUGGUCUGCUUCUCCACACUCACAGGUGGUUGGGCCAGUCUUGUAGCCCCAUCUGGCCUCAGCAGCCUUUGACCUUCCUGUUCUCAAUCUGAGAUGGUUUGAAGUUUUCCAUUGAAACCAUUGUGCUUGUGGGUUUUCAUUGGGGGUCUUUCCAUGACAGUUGGAGAAGGGUCUUUCUCAAGCUUUUCCAUCUACAGUUGGAUUCUGGUUUCUUCCUGAAACUUUUUAGGGGCUGGCCAUGGCUGCGAAAGCUUCUUCUUGACUUUAGCCGUUGGACUGGAGGUUGACAUCCAUGGAAGAGAUGGCCUUCAUCACUUGUAGAUUUUCUUUUUCCGACUCGGCAGGCAACAUCCCGUCUAAUAUCGGCUGGGGCAAUGCCAGCCAGGAGGUGAAGGUUGCUUGUAUUGGUGGGUUUCAAGCGGCCGGUGAUCAGGCAGAAGGUGUUGUUCAGUGCUCGGUCAAGUUUCUGGCCUGGGUUGACCUCUCCAAAACCGGGCAUGCAUAUUCUGUAGAGGAGUAGCACUAGGCCGGAGUAGUAGACGUGUGUGCAGUGGUUCCCCACUUGGAGUUGGUCGGUUUCCGUAGGAUGAUGUUUCGGGAAUAGAGUGGUUACAGUGCUCAAGUGUUGUUCCAGACUAUUUAAUGAUAAGUGCUUGGUUGGCUUCACCGUUCCUGAGAAGGAAGGAGCAGACUUGGGUCUUUGCAGGGUUGGCACGCAGGUGGUUCCACUUAUAACGGCGAAGUAACUUAUCUAUAGCUGUGGUGAGGUUCAGUUCUACUGCUUCAAACAAGUUAUCUUGGGAUGUUACACAGACAUCGUCUGUUGGUAGCGGGGCAGCACACUACCUUACUGAAUUGAGCGAAAGCCUAAUGUCUGGAUUGAAAGCUAUCUACCGAUCAGCAACGCGUUUGCCGGUUUGCUUGCAAAAAUGUCGUUGGGCUUCAUUAGGGUUCGGUCCCCAAAUCAACCUGUAAACUCAAUUUUGUCAUUGUCGGGACGUCGUUUGUCAUAUUCAAAUAUCCAUGAGCUGACAAUAGUUAUUGUUCACUAGCAGUGAAAAUGAUUACAGGUACAUCUGCAUAAUGACCAUGAAGCUCAGGUCAUAUCGGAUUGAUUGGCGAGGUUAGGCACGCUCCCACAAUGUUGCCUUUAAGUUGUCAAAUCUUGAAAAAGGAAAUCUUAGUAUAAGGAAUAUAGGUUGCACACAUCUAACUCGCUUCAUAGGAACACAGUUGCUAACACAGUUCCUACCUUAAAGACAAAUGGAGGGUAAGAUACGAAGGGUUUACAUAUAUACAUUAUGAUUAUUAGUUUGGUUGACUCACAUGCUGCAUAUUCCAAAAUGUUGUUGCAAACGAACAUGUUUGUGUUGUGCUUAAUUAUCCAUUCAAUGACACAAAAGCAAUGUUAUUCAUGUUCAUUUGGACUUCACAAAAGUCCUUUAUUGUUAACAACAUAACAGCAGCGACGGACUGGCUUUGACUGGGAGACUUCUCGCUCCUCACCCCUCCAUCCCCGUCCUCCUGUUCCUCCCUCUGAAUUAUGUCUGUCAAGUCUUUCUCCAUCAUUGCGGCCCUUCGACUGGGAUCUCUCUGCAGACGGUCGCGGUCACAUGCGUGAGGGCUGGUGGGGGAUGCUGUCUGUCCUUUCCUGUCCGGUGGCAAGUGGAGGGGAGCUGCCUCCCCUGGGUGCCCCCAUCCUUGUGCGCCACACAGACCAUAUGGCCUGGCCUGGCCCCUCUAGAUGGGUGAGCUGGUCCGCGGACCACCUGAGGCAGCAGGAGCUCUCGUAAUCACUGGAGACAAGGGCCACUUGACACCAGGCUGACAGAUGGUGCUCCGGCACUGAUGCCCUGGACUGCUGCUGCUACUAGAGUGUGUGUGUGUGUGUUCAGAUUGAGAGGCACAAUAAGGGCGAUGAUGUGUCAGGGGCGGUUAAACAUGAUGGUGGCAGCCCGUCUUCCUUUGUCUCUUGGGCAGCCGUAGCCCCAGGCCAUGACUGCAGGCAAAUUUCAUCACAUAUAAAAGGAGCAGAGCCCAAACAACAGAUAAGGACAACAGUGUCCCACUGCAGCACGACGUCAAGAUUCACUGAGCAAAAACGCUUUACAUACCAACUAAUUUGGAGUCUAGGCAAUUCAUUUGUAUUUAUACAGCCAUAGAUCCCAAAUUUGCCUCAAGGGGCAUUUCAAUAGGUGAAGUGGACAAUCACCUUUCUUUAGGGGUUCAUCCUCCACAACAAGCUAUCUACAUAAUACAUACAACAUAAACCCAUUGGAAACCAAACAAAAACUUUAGCAAGGGCAUUAGGGCUAUUUUAACACCUCCAUCGUAUCCAAUCUUUCCAAGACAUCUAUUUUUUGGGGUGACGUCAUGAGAUGUUUCCUCCACUUUGACAGAAAGCUAGCUAGAACCUUGAGUAUGACAUCAGAAUGACAUCAUUCACGUCAAUGUGUUUUUCUCCAUAUUCCCACAACUGUGUCGCAUUGCACUUCUGCGGAGAUACAUACAGUAUGUCAAAAUUAAUUUAGUUGUUUUGUAUUUAUGAGGAUUAUACGAUUCAACAUGGUGUGAAAACUACAAAUCUGCAAACUCCAGGAGAAGGAAAAUGACACACUGAGGCUCUCAUGUACGUACAUUUGCAAAACAGCGUUAACAGCGCCAGAGACAACCCGCAAGAAAGCGCACGCUGUGAUACUUCAGUUUAUGUUGGAUUUCCAAAACCUGCAGCUCAUCAGCGCCUUUCUCCGCUCACCACACUGCACACUGCGGGCAUUUAAACACCCAUUUGAAUGGGCCUCCUUCUCUCUUAGAUCAACCAAAGUCAAAACGGCUAAAACAAAACUUCAGUGACAACGAAGUUGAUGUGUUUUUUGGGCAUCAGCGGUGGGGAAAUCUAGUGAGCUGUAGCAAAGCGUUCAGUACUUGUGCUGUGAUCUUGUUAUGAUCCCGUUACCAAUAAUUGUAAUUUAGCGAGGAGUUCAACAACUGCUGGAAUGGAAUGUGAACGCUGAGCGGGAGAUGCGAUGUUGGUAACUGUAAUAUUGCAUGGCUGCUUAACCUGUAACGCGUAAUGACCUCCUGUUCACUCAACUGAAAAAGGUUUGAUCCUUUCUGCUCGUCCCCUUGGCCUAUGUGACUGUCUGGCUUGUAUUGUUAUUUCACCAGGAGGCAUAUGUGAGGAAACGCGCAUUCUGGUUUACACCUGCUCUCAGAAGCGGAGACGUGCGUUCACGGGUGGUUUCUGUAGAUACCGCGGAAUACAUGAUUAGACACAUCCCCUUCCAUCUCUUCGUGGGAAAACUUCCCCUUGAACCCUCCUGUGAAUGCAUACGCAUGACAUGGAAAGCGCGAUUUGCCUUUUUCUGUUCCUGCAACAGACAGUCGCACAUUGCAAAACACAUACGCCUGAAGUGGGCGCAAAAGCGUACAUGAGGCCCUGUGUCCAGUUUUGAUCAACAGAUCAAUAAAACUACAGGCUUGUACGAGAAAGAUACUCAGGAAAGUUAUCACUGAAUGCAAUCUUUUAUCAGGAAGAGUGUAAGGUAAUCAAGAGAAAACCAGCGUUAGAGCAACAAGGCAAUCCACCAAGAGUGUGUUCUUGGCGUAUUCGAUGUCACAACAUCAGGCAGGGUUACAGUUAAAGUUGAGUCGCGGUCACCUUGGACCCCGCCACCCACUGUGUUGAUGCACUAUCUCCAUUUAAAUGGAGGCGCAUAUAUCAAGAGGGCCCUUGUAGGUUUGAACAAAGCCUUUGUAGCUGGUAUUCCUAGGUGGUCUGGAUCACUCUACAAUGAGGACGCAGAGGUAUCGGUCAGGUCUGCAUUGUGAUUGGAUAUCACAACGCUUUAGUAAAUCUACCCAAUGCUGGACUAAUAAAGAAUGGUCUAAUGUUAAAUCAUCUUAUUCUGUCUAAAGAAACUAUAUUCCUGUACAACUAAACCGCAUUAUCAUGGACGUUUUGGGGGGUUUCUCACCGUUAACAGUUUAUCGUAUUGAAGUUAUCUUGUAAAUUUAAACCUUUUAAAAACACUGAAAAACGUCUUUGUUGAGUACAGUAAAAAAUUGUGGUUAGACUUCAAGAAUAAGUGCAUUUUACCUUUUAACCUACCAUUGAAAUUACCGUUGAAAUUGCAGAAAUGAACUGAAAUUGUCACGGUGUGGUUCACGUCCUGUCUUAUUUUGUAGUUUUCUGCCACUCGUGUCCCCGGGUAACUUCACUUCCUGCCUUGUCCUGUCAUCCCCUGUGAUUGUUUGAUCCUUUCCACCUGUGUCCAAUCACCUGCACCUCCCUUGUGUAUUUAAGCCGUGUGUGUCUCUUGUGUCACUGGUGGCGUCAUUGUCGAAAGUCCUGGAUGUCUCUCAUUCCUGCCUGCAUUUUUUCCCCCUGGUACCUGUAUGCGUUUUGGCCCCUUGGCCAUUUUGAGUUGGAGUUUAUGACUAUUAAAUUCUUUUUGCUUUAAACUCUGCAUUUGAGUCCUGCCUUCCACCCACCCCGACAGAAAUAAGUCAAUGUUAAUUGUGGUUUCACACAGAAAUAACAUUAUUCAGACAAAAAAUUGUAAUUGCCAAUCCAGUUUGAUACAGAGGCGUUAUUGAAAGGAGAGGCUGGUCUACAAAGCUAAAUUAAUCCCAGACAGCAGCAUCACUGCCGCACCAUCUCCACACAAUGAUAAGAGGGCCAAUCACUAACAAACUAAUUUAAAUCUCGUCUCUGAAAACCUUGGCAUGCUUCAAAUGGGGAUAAUUCUGAACCACAAGUGCGCAAUGCCACAUGGUUAACGUUGUAAAAUAACUUUUAUUAAAGGUCAUUUAGCUGAUGCUUUUAUCCAAAGCGACUUACAUUGCAUUUUUAAUCCAUGUUUUUUUUUUACAUUUUGCCCAGGGAGAAGUUAGGGGUCAGGGGUCUUGCUCAGGGACACUUUGACACGGGACAUGGAGCAGCCGGGGUUCGAGCCGCCAACCUUGUGGUUCCCAGCGCACCCUCUCUACUCCGGGCGCCACCGUCGACCCCUCUAUGUGAGGCGCAAUGCGGAAAACAGGAACAUAACAAGGACGGAAUUGGGAAAUUCAAUUUGAUGGGAGAAAGAAAAGGAAUAAGCUUUGAAACGCAGAAUGUCACGGAUAUUAUCUCCAUAUAUCUCCAUUUCACCCAAAACUAUUCAAAUCCACACACAUCUAUCUUUUAUCUUUUAAACAUAUUCACUGCUGGAUUCUCAUAGUAGUCAAACAAAAAAAAAGUCUGUUCGUUGACACCUUAGAGAAGAAAAGUGCCGUCCAUCCCCAGUGGACUUCUCACAUUUGUCUCAACGCAUACUUGUAUUUAUGUUCUCACGAGGUUACCAAAAAGCUUUUCUCCCCCCGAUUUAAAAAUGGACAUUCAAUACUGCAUUGCAGUGCGAACAAUGACCUCAGUCUGUCGAUGCUGAAUGUUGUGUUUACUUGUCUAGACAUUGCCUGUGCCGGUCAGAUCUCUGCAAAUCAAUAUUUCAUCACUGUAGCGGCCAAACGUCAUAAGCCUGACAGCUCUGAUAAGUACUCGCAGCAGCUACGCUGAGGAGGGAACGCACUUCCACGUUCUCCAUGCAGAAAGGAGAGGCCACAGAGAUGUCUGUUGUUCGGACAGAUGCUUACUUUGGUGGCACCAUGACAGAAAAUGGACUCCAAUCUGUUUUGCUCAUCAGAUUAGAAGAGAUUUACUCAGCCAGUAAAUGGGGAAGAUGGAUGGAGAUAGAGAGUGUGUUUGAUCAGUUUGGAUGCUGGGGGUACGUGCGUGUGCGUGUGCGUGUGCGUGCUUUGGUGCCACAGCCUCUCAAAGCUUUUCUUUGCACGGCUUGUCUGUCUGAGCCUUGACAGCCAGCACCAUCCAUGGAAUCCACACACAGGCCAGAGCUGGUCCAGCAGGAAUCCUACCAACCAUCAGCUUCUAUGUUAUGAGUUUGCACUUUCCUUUGUUUAAAUCAGUAGAAUUCUUUUACAUUUUAACACUCUGCUUGCAUAUAAAACACCCAUAAUUGCAGGGGACCUGUCCUGUCCCAGGCAUCAGGAAACAAUGUUAGCGAUUUACAUUUUCUUUCAACCACUUAUACGUUGAAUGCAGAUGUCUUGGCAAACAAUGUAGUAUAUACUGUAUAUUAAUAUAGUAUUUAGCAGCCGUUAUUAAAAGUUAGGUGGUAUAAAAACACUAUCUAAAGUUAAGCGAUAUAAUCCUGUUAUUGAAAGUUAUUUGAUAAAGCGACACAUGAAUUUGGGGACCGAUUUGUUGUAAUUAGUGUGAGUCCCCUCAAUGUUCCAUGACAUGUGGGUAGACAGCAUGGUUGUUAAGCCUAAGUGCGCCUCGUGCUGGACACGGAGGAUACUAAAAUGUGCAGCAGUGUCUUAAAAAGAGACAUUUAUAGGUAACUCUUCCAAACUCUCCUACCUUCACAUUUUGUCCUCAAAUAAAGCGUCUCAACCUUUGGUGGAGGGAUUAAAAAUCUAGAUUAUGAAAGAAAAUCAUCAAGAAUCAAUUAAUAUGAUGCAGCUUCUAAUGAAAUCAUUUGACGUAUAACAACUCCAAGGAAAAUUAUUCCAGUGUUUUAUGAAAUAAAGAGCAUAAUCUCAUGGCCCUACUCUGCACUGACCACAGGUCACCCGUCCCUCAGGUCUCCUCUGGAAUCGACUUGAGCUCUCAUUCGCUGUAGCUUCCUGUCCGCCCAGAUAUUUAGCUGGCUAGCUUGAUACAUUGUGUUCCAGAGCGCGCUGACACCAGUUUGCCCUCUGAUAUUUGUUGAAGAUCAGUAGGUAAAUAAAUCCAAUCCCCAAUUUCAGAAAAGGGUCUUUUGAUUUUUCCCACCUUCAUUGCACUGCAACAUUGUGCCUUAUAAAUGUGAAUUUAUGUAAUGUUAGCUUUGAACUAGCCACUGUGACGCCCAACAAUUUUGAUCGCCAGUGCUAAUCUGUACUGGGGGCUGAUCUUUUUUAUUUCAACACAUGGAAAAUGGAAGCCGUAAUGCAUUGAUACUUUUCUUCAGCAGAGGUUUAGUCGUAACUCCUAAAUCCUGUGGAUAAAGUCCUUCAGCCGUAGAAUAUUUUCUGGUUGAGUGAGUCUUUGGCUUUCGGGUUUUCUACCAAAGGAGAUGAAACAAUGAUCUCCUAAUUAGUGGGUGAAGAACAUGGGAUUGAUAGACUACAGAGUUGAUGAGCUGAUGAAUGGGAAUAAAUGCAGGCAGGCGUUGAGGGAGACUGGGCUCACAUAUACAGAACCACACAUCAAUACCAGCAGACAGGAUCAAUGGGAAGCACAGGGGAGUCAUAAAGUCAUCAUGUGCAUCAUGGACAUACCAACGGCUGAGUGUGCCAACAGAGCAGCCACCUCAUUUUGUCAAGAUCAUUCGUGAAAACGCUAUUUCUUUUGUAACAUGCUGGGGCAGACUGUCAUGACUGUCAGGUCUCCAAACCAACUGCUUGUGCAGCAGCUCUGAGAAUCACUGCUGAGUAUUUCAAAGCGAGAAGAAAAUGUUUGCUAUUUUUCUAUGUGGAAAAACUAAGUAAAAAGCUUUUACAUCAUGUUGUCUGAUUCCACUCUUGACGCUUUAAAAUCACACAAGAUAACUAUUUUUGCAACUCUAAAUGUGUAUUCUAUGUUUGGUUCUUUUCGAAGCCCCCCAAAAACUACAAAGGCGUUUCCACAGCAACGACCACUGACGAAAACCACAAAUUUUUGAUACAUUUUCUGUAAGUUCUUUAGAUUUUACUGACCAAAGUUGAUCCAAUUAACUCCCAAGUUAGUGCACGAUUAACGAGUUAACGAUAUUAACGAGUUAGUGCAGUCCCUCGAAAUACGCAUACAACAUUAAAAAUGUCUGAGUUUAGUAGGGGGCGCUAUCGAGCCAAAAUUGCAGCUCUGUUUUAAAAUCAUACCUUUGUGUGUGUUCAUGUGUGAAACUGAUUUUAUGGUGAUGCAACUUACUUAGACAGAAAUCCAAAGAAUAGAGACAUUAACGACAUUUCUAAGCUAUCCAUCCAUCCAUCCAUUGUCAAACCGCUUAUCCUGCACACAGGGUCGCGGGGGGGCUGGAGUCCAUCCCAGCCAACUUCGGGCGAUAGACAGGGUACAUCCUGGAUUGGUCGCCAGCCAAUCGCAGGGCGACACAGAGACAAACAACAAUUCACACUCACAUUCACACAGCUACGGGCAAUUUAAAGUCCCCAAUUAACCUGAUCCCCAGAGCAUGUCUUUGGACCGUGGGAGGAAGCCGGAGAACCCGGAGAGAACCCACGCAGACACGGGGAGAACAUGCAGACUCCACACAGAAAGGCCACUGGGCAGAAUCGAACCCAGGACCUUCUUGCUGUGAGGCAACAGUGCUAACCACCACACCACCGUGCCGCCGUGCCGCCCCCAUUUCUAAGCUAUGACUGACUAAAUAUUUGCUUGUAUGUGUCUUCAGGCCGGGAGUAUCAUCAAGGAUGGGACAUAAUAAACAUUAGCACUGCCACUAAACAACACGCGCACGGGACUCCAACCGGGCUUCCCUUUCACUGAGCCAAUUGGUGCUGGCCUACAAAAAUAUUGAAGUACUGCAAUAAAUAAGCGUCCCAAAUAAGUCCCAAAGUGGAGGGUCAGUUAGCUUUGAGAGUCGAGAGGACCUCCCAGGUUCCUCCAACCAUCAUGGCCACCUUCAUGCUGACAUAGUGAUGGAUUGUUAACAGAGACCGAUUGCAUUUCAUGUUUGAGAGGGACGGAGCCAAGGUUGAACAGAGGUGUUGACGAGCUGCAAGUGAAGGGUAUUACGUUCCAGUUGCUUCUCAACGGACUGAGAGCUUUGUAUCACUGUGUCGCCCCAGUAAGCUUGACUCAUGUGUUCUUGUUGUCACGGUGUGGCUUAUUUCCUGUCUUAUUUUGUAGUUUCCUGCCUCUUGUCUCCCUGGGUAACUUCACUUCCUGCCUGGUCCUGUCAUCCCCUGUGAUUGUCUGAUUGUUUCCACCUGUGUCCAAUCACCUGCACCUCCCUAGUGUAUUUAAACUGUGUGUGUCUCUUGUGUCACUUGUCGCGUCAUUGUGCUGGAUGUUCCUCGUUCCUGCCUGCCUUUUUGCCCCGGUUCCUCUGUGUGUUUUUGCCCUUUUGACUAAUAAAGUCUUUUUGUUUUCUCAAUCUGCAUUUGAGUCCUGCCUUCCCACGCUCCCGUGACACUUGUAGAGGCAAAUUAUGAAAUGUAUAGAUGCUUUCAAGUAUCCCUCCACGUUGAGAAGGAAACCAAAAAUGAAUAGGACUCUCCAGACAUUCUUCUCUAUAUGUAUUUCAUUCAUUCCAUCUGUUCAGUUAAUAUGAAUAUAUGAUGUAAUAUGAAAGCACAUAGGAGCCGUUUUAAUUACAUUGCAAUAAAUCAAUCAAAAACCAAUUAAGGUGUCCAUUUUUCAAGUUCAUUCAAUUUAAAUGAUUUCUAUCCUAAUCUUAAAAAUUACAAGACACCAAAAUGAAAACACAGACUACCAAUGAUGAGUAAUAAUGAGGACUCAUUCAGCCCUCAUUUCAUUUGCCUCAAAUGAAGAAGUUGUAUACUUGCUAAUGUAGAUCCUCAAGUGAUCCAUCGAUUCCCUGCCGGGGCAUAAAUAACUUCUGUGUCUUACCAAUGAAAGUCAAACAUUCAAAAACAGAUUAGUUGAUUAUGAUGGGGCAGGAUUGGAUUUGACGAAAUGUUAGUGCACUACAGAGUCUGUAUCUAGAAUAUUAGUAAAAACUGAACCCAGAGUUCCGACCAGGAAGCAGAUUUACAGUCCAACACACUUACACACUGGCCUAAACAGAAUCAGUGUUUUAUGUAUAUAUUUUUAAAAUCUAUUCUAUUCUAAUUGUAGUCUUCUUCAUCUAGAAGGAAUAAACGAUUUGCUGCAUGUGGUCACAGUGUACCUUUAGAACCAAUGUACAGUAUGUUUCCACGAGUGAGUUAGAUUCAAGUCGCUUUAGAGUUGAGGAUCACGGCAACAAUUAGCUUGGUUGGGAUGAUGAAAGAUUAUGUUUUAAUCUUUCAGUUUCAGUUUAAUUGGCGCACAGCGGACAUGAGAGAUCCUGAGUUCAGCACCACUACUUACUGUCCCGGAAAUCAUUUUGAAUUUAAUCCUCACUACAGAUUUACAGUUAUUGUAUACUGAACGAUUCACACCUCCAGUAUUAAUGAAUUUCCGUUAAAUGUGUAUUUUUUGUGUACUGGGGGGCCCGCGAACCUCCAAGGGCGGAGUUCUGCUGGGGUGGUGUGGGGGAAGGUGAGAGUGAUUAAGGUGGAUGUGACUUGGAGAUGCACUGAAUGGACUGAUUAGAUGACUGAGAGGUGGAAAAAACAGGGUUGCAGUGGCAGAGCUGUAACAACAGUAUGCUAACGCUACGUCCUAAGAAUAUUACAUUGAAUGACAAAUACUCAAAAUACUAAUGUUUUAAAAUACAGAAAAUGGCUAAAAUACACACAGCCACCUAGAGGACGGUCGUCCAACUGAGCAACUGCAUUUCAUUUGAGAUAAUGUACUCUAUUACCUCCUCCCUGAAACAAAGAUUUCACCAUAAACCCCCAUGCAUCUGACCUGAUCUGUGUUACCGUGAUGCAGUUCAACACAUACGUGACAUGGAAAGAGUGAAAUGGAGCGCUGUGCCUGCCUUUCAUUUAAGUUUGCAUUCCCACAGCAGGCGAGGUCUCACCCCGAGUCUCCCGCUAAAAGGUUUUCACACAAGGGUGAUGUUUAUUCCAACAGCCACCUCUCUUCACCACUAAUCCAAAUGUUUAUAUGUUCAUUAAUCCAGAAUUUCCCCUAAUGCAUCACUUAUAAUAACAGACCUGGCACCUCCCAGGAAGUGUUGUGGCGUAAUUGUGAGUUGAGAGGAUGAGUACAUGGUCAUAUUUAGAGAUUUAGCGGUAAAGUUUGGUCUCCCUGUUUCGACCUGACACUCGCACUUGAAUCGACUCGAUGAUUUCCAAGCUCUGAUAUCCGCACUCUGUGUAAAGAAGCAAAAUGAGAGAGCUGUGUUGAAAAAUACAAAAAAAGCCUUUAAAAAUAAGUCAUCUCUGAUUAACAGACAUAACGUGCAGUAGGUGUCACCCUGGGGAAUUUGAUUAUUUUUCACCAUUAAUAAUAUAAACGCUUGAACAAUUGAAAUUUUCCACUUCUUAUAAUGUCUUUAUAAAACUUCAAUAAGAACGGCUGAAAUAAAAAGUAUGAUUUUUUCCAGGUUUGAGUUUCCAUAAAUCUGAUUUGACGUCCAAUCUGUAAUUAGCGGAAUUAGUACAGACCAAAAUAAUCGUCUGUAUGUAAUGGCAGCAAUCAGCUGCAGUUCCACUGCCACAUUAGUUAUAAUAUUGUCAGUUAUAAUAUUGCCAGCUGGCUUAACCAUGCAAUUUUUGCUGAAAUCCAGGUAGCAUAAAUUAUGUGUGUCCCCCCCCCCCGCACCAGUGUACAACAGUUUCAGAGUAGAAUUUCCACCUUGUGUCUGUACGGCACCAGCAACAAGUCAUGGAUAUAAUUUUAUCCUUUCUGAUUUUUGUGCAAAAUUGUCAUAAUUAGCAAAUCAAGUCUUGUGUGAAGGCCAAAAAGCGUUUUUUUUGAGGUCAAUGGUCUUUGACCACCAACCCAUAAUCAACUCAACUUGAAUCACUCAAUUGGAAGAGGCUCCCUCUCUGCCAGGGGUAUUCAAUGAAAAUCCAACAAGGUCCAGUUGGAGAGAGGUUCUUCAUGCAAGGUCCAGAACAUCACAAUGUCCAACUUGCGCUAUAAUAUUGUCCCAUACAUUAACAGAUAUAUUAAUGUAUUUGUGUAAUAACUGAAUCAAAUUUCGAAAAAUGAAUUGAAUAACAUCUCGACAUAAUAUAUUGUUGUUUUCAAAAUGAAAUAUAGGCAACCUAUACGGGGUAAUGAAAGAUAAACGUUUGUCUCUUAUUUCACAUAAAAUCAUGCUGAAAAGGUGAGAUGGCAGUAUAAAGGUGUUUGAUAUCAGCUGUCAAUCUGUUUUCUGUCCUGUAAACAGGAAACACAUUUACAGUGUGUCCGUAAAUUCAAAAUAAAUUAAUUAAAUUUUCCAGAGAGAUUUACCAAUCUGUUUUUUCAAAUAUCCCGUUCAAAUUGGAAGCCGUUGAAGUUCAACCUUUUCUGAAUGUUUGUGUAUCAUUUUAUGUGAGUGACAUAUCUUACUGCCUUUAUUUCCAGUUACUAAUAUUUAACUCAUUUGGUUUGGGCAAAGCUUGUAAAUUUAGUUUUUCCUAAUAUGCCAUAUCUAAAAAGAAAAAAAAACAAAUUUUCCCAUUUCUAUGGUCUAUAUAAAAUGGAAUACUUACAAUACUUACUACAAUAUGUAACACCAAUAUAAGGUUGAUGAGUUAGUUUCCAAAGCUUAAAGGAAAAAAGGAUCACUUGUCUUUUGAUUGGAUAUCAUUUUUCAUUCCCACACAGAAGACAGAGUUUACAGGAGAAAUUUGAGGAAUUUGAGGUGAAGUGUCUUGCGCAACGUAGCGCAACAUUGCAGCAAGUGGCGUAGCUUUACAGUGCUGUAACAUAGCUGUACAAUGCAGUUUUUACAACUUAGUUGUACAACGUGGUUUAAGAACUUGGCAUAACAAGUUGACGUAACAAGCUAAUUUAGUUAGCUAGCACACCGAACAUCAGACUCGUCAAAUUCCAGCAUCUUUUUGCACCCACGUUCAGCCAGACCACCUCUGGGAUUUUCCUUGCAGUGCAUAGAUGUUAUUUUAUAUUAUUUCAUAUUUAGAAUGUUGUUAAAGUUAAAAUAGUUAUAUUUGGUUACAAGAUUAAAAAAAACAUGUGGCUUUUGCCAAGACAGCACUAAAUCUGAAUGGGCAAUAUUAAACCAUGCUCUUCCCUAAUAGCAGUAUUACAUCUUUUCAGUGACAGCAAAAAGUGAUACAGUGAAAACUGUAAUUAAAAUGUCUAAUUGGCAUAUUUUAGUAGAAUGAAGUAAAUUACUAGAGCCUCAUGAAAUAAUUGAAAAACAAAGCAAUUAUGGUCUGCAGGCACCAUUCAGUCUGAUAAUUGCAGUGCAGCUCGGUCUGACAGCAAACAGAAUUGCACUGGGCUGAACUAGGAGAUUCACUUGCUGCGUUUCCAGCCAACUUCUCAUACUUCUCGUACCUUUUUUCACCUGUCAACCAUACACAGAAAACAUAUGAACAAUUGGGUUUCUUCUGAAACACAGCAUUAUGUUAAAUACUUACCCACAAACCUGUGUUUUAUACACGAGCGUCACAGGUUUAUUAUCUUUUGGACUUCCUACUAUGACAAAUAAUGAUACCUCAAGGAUCGCAACAUGUCCAUUCAUUUGUCCAUUUUGCUAUUCAAGUCUUAGAACUGCUGCUGACCACAUGGUUAGAUACCAGCAAGGGUUGGAAUGAAAACAUUUUUUUUAAUUCAAUGUCUGAAUAGGAAUAAUAAACACUUUUAAUAAACACAAGAUAAAGUGGGGCCCUGGCUGAAAGAGAUCGUUCAUCUGGCCUUUAUGCACACGGCCUGGUCUACUUUGCCUUCUCUUCUGAGGCAAAGCGGAUUUAAAUCAUUGAAAUACUCAGUUUGUCAAAACACGAGUGUGGAUGUUCACUGAUUAGGGUGACAAAGUGUCUGCUGAGUUUGUACACAGCAGUAGGCCUUUUGUUUCCUAACGGCGAGGGGUGAGGUCAGCGCAGCCGUAGCCAACAUCCAGACAGAAGUCAUCUGACCUCUUACUCCUACUUGCUUCUUUGGCUCUGUCACUCAGUGCCUCUCCUCCUACUCACACAGCCGGCAAUCACCUUCACUACAUCUUCACUAGGAACUGCUCCACCACUAACGUCUCUAACUCCACUUCACGUCUCUGACCACUUCUUCAUCUCCCACUCUCUAUAAGUAACUUCACAGCUAGGAACCUCGGCGUGACACUCUCCCUGACUCCCAAACUAUACAGCACCCAUUUUCCCACCUCUUAUUGAGUUUGCUGUCUGACUUUAAAAAAAUGCAAUUGUCAUUUUCUUUGUAUGGGACAUUAAACAGACUUCACGCUGCGAGCUUCCUUAUACAAAAUCCUAACAAAUUCUACAGUUGCUGAACCAAGGGAAAAUAAAAUGUGUGAGCACAUGGCAGUUUAGGCUUUAAAGGUCUGAGGUAAAAGUGCUCAUCUAAAAAACUGAUUUCUCCCUGUGUUUUAAGUGCGUUGUGGCCUUGGUGUAAAUACGUAUUUCAGGGUUCACACUUGAGGGAAAUACCCCUUUGGAUGGACUGAGAACAAGCUGGAAAGAUACAGUAUAUACAAAUAUUCCCACAACACACAGGGUCUGUGGGAACACCCUGGAAUCCUUCAGGAGGACAUUUCAGAGGAGAAAAAUAUCUGUUUGAGUAUAUAUGUGUGUAUGAGUACUGUUGUAUGUCAAACAAAGUCAAAUAAUGCAUCAUUCAUUUCAUAGUAAACAAUUACUUUAUAAUCAAACCUCACAUCAAUAUUUCACAAUGCUUUGUUUGAGGCGAUCAAAUAUUUUUCUUUCACGUAGAUCCCUUUUCGCAGUAGCUUUGCUGGCCGAGGGUCUCUGGAGGUUUGCACAGGUCUCCCGGGAGCUCUCUAAUGCAUGUGACCAGAGGAGACCUCCAUGUAGGUCAAGAUGUUUUCCAGGCACGUCUUCUCACUUUAUCCAUCUACUGGGACGCUCAGUGAGAAAGCCUCUGCCUGUCUGUCCACCCCAAAUGCUGCGGUGCCCUUUCCGGCUAAGGUGACAACAACUGUGUCUAAUUGUUUGGAAGGGAGCUCUAAAGAAAGCCGUCCUUUCAUGGCCGGGUUGCUUACUUCAAGGUGACCAACUGGUUAUCUUUGUAGUUCCAGAACCUCAUGUAGUUCCUUUAUUUCCAUAGUUUGUUGAAUGAUUUCAAAUACUGAGUACUAAAGAGAGAAUAAAAGUGUCUUUUGGUUGUUGGCUGGUCGUUGUGGGACAGAGAGACUAUGUGGACUGGCCGUAGUGGGGCGGAGAGGCUGAGUGGACUGGUUGUAGUGAGAAAGAGAGACUAUGUGGACUGGCCGUAGUAGGACAGAGAGACAAUGUGGACUGGCCGUAGUGGGACGGACAGGCUGAGUCGAUUGGUCGUCCUGGGACAGAGAAAUUAAGUGGACUGGUCUAGUGGGACGGGGAGACUAUGUGGACUGGUCGUCGUGGGACAGAGAGAUUAUGUGGACUGGUCGUCGUGGGAUGGGGAGCCUGACUGGACUGGUCGUUGUGGGACAGAGAGACUAUGUGGACUGGUCGUAGUGGGACGGAGAGAUUAUUGGGACUGGUCUAGUCGGACAGUGAGACUAUGUGGACUGGCCGUAUUGGGACGGAGAGGCUGAGUGGACUGGUCGUCCUGGGACAGAGAGAUUAAGUGGGCUGAUCUAGUGGGACAGAGAGACUAUUUGGACUGGUCGUCGUGGGACAGAGAGACUAUGUGGACUGGUCGUCGUGGGACAGAGAGAAUAUGUGGACUGGUCGUAGUGGGACAGAGAGAUUAAGUGGGCUGGUCGUCGUGGGACAGAGAGAUUAAGUGGACUGGUCGUCGUGGGACAGAGAGAAUAUGUGGACUGGUCGUAGUGGGACAGAGAGAUUAAGUGGGCUGGUCGUCGUGGGACAGAGAGAUUAAGUGGGCUGGUCGUCGUGGGAUGGGGAGGCUGACUGGACUGGUCGUUGUGGGACGGAGAGAUUAAGUGGACUGGUCGUAGUGGGACAGAGAGAUUACGUGGACUGGCCAUAGUGGGACGGAGAGGCAGCCCAGGUCGACUAUAAAGACUGUGUCCUCAUGAGGAUGCAUCCGACCAAAUGAGACACCGAUACAGAGUGGAAAGACAUAGGAAGCUGAACUGGCUAGAAACUGCUAAUUUGUCUCCGUCCUUCAGAGUUGAAAAAUAUACCCACUGUACAAGCACCACCAAGCUGACUAUUCUUAGUAGUUGAAGUGGAGUUAAAAAUCCUCAUCAGGUCUGAGACUACUUACUGCAUCAUGUUGAAGGAAAAAUGAAUUUUAAAGCAAGCGGCUGAGUGAUGAAACCCGAAGCUUCCGUAUGACGAAAAGUAAGGAAGUGACACGGAAUGCCGUGCAUCGCAUUUGAAGAAUUCAAUGUUUGUCAGACCAUAAAUAAGACAAGAAUUGCUCCCUGCAACUAAUUCGGUGGGAGGAGGGUUGCUGUCUGCUUCACGCAGCAGCCGCUCACUGGCCAUCCAAUGCCUUUAUGCUGCCAGUCCUCCCUAUGGGGAGAUGGACAGUCUCUCUCUCUGCCUUAAGGCCUGAGGCCAAGGGGUGUAACGAUUCAUUUUAACACGAUUUCGAUUCGAAUCACGAUUCAUGGGUGCCGAUUCGAUUCAUGGACGAUCUGGGUUCAUUUAGAACGAUUCGAUUCGAUUCAGUGACUUGAAAUCGAUUCAGUAACUUUACUGGACAGUGCAGGCAAAGUUUCUGAGAUCCCUGUUGUUUCUUGUAAGGAAAUCAGGUUUAAAUUAAUUAUGGAUAUUAUAAACAAGCAAACUACAAUUAAUGGCAAAUGUAUUAACCUUUUAUUUGAAUUAAGUUACACAAUAAUUCAUAAGGUAAUCAUUAAUAUAAUAAUAUGUGGGAUAUCUCGAACCCUGAUGUCAGCUUUCAUUAAAAGUACAUGUUCCCACAGUGGUAGAAGCUCAUACUCAACAAGCAUCGGGUUCAUUGUAAACAAUGGAGGACCAAGAGAGAAUAAAUAGGAUUAAUUGCUUUCCACACAUCAAGCUAAAGGACUUAAGUUCAACUUUAGCCAGUUUGCUAAAACGGAAUAAUUCCAGAAAUUCUGAUUAAAAUGCAUUGCCCUUUUAGGCAAGUUCAUUUAUUUAUGUAUCGAUAAAUAAUUAAAUGAAAGGAAAAUAAGAACGAAGACGGAAGACGGCCUGAAUUCUCUGUAAUCAUCUAUUUCAUAUUUAAUUCAGCCUUAUUCUAAAGGAACUACAAGUAACCCAAAAUGAUGAAAUGAUUCCUAAUUUCUAGUACAUAUUGUUUCUGACAUUAGGAAAAUUAUGUUAAAGAUAAAUGUAGGAGUGUGCCUGUGCGGCAACAUUGACAUUUUUAAAAUGAGUUAUGACGGUGAAGAUUAGAAGCAACAAAAGGUUACACAUUUAAAUGUGUAAUAAAUAAAUAUCAAUAAAUAUGACUCAACGGGUCACUUCUGGUCAUAUCGCUGAUGAACACAUCAACAUGCUAGAAAAUACUGCUUGUUUGUCAGGUGAGACCCGUUUACAGCAGGCAAUCAAUCAAAGCCUCAUAAUGUUCAUAACGACAUAUGACUACUCUAUAGUUACUGGACAGAUUGGUCAAAACCGUUAAUCCAGCUCAGCCCAAAAGUGUUUCUUUUCACAAGGAGCCCAGAGACGAAUGAGAUCCUCAGCAGGACGGGCUUUGGUAGCAGGUUAUGGUCCGGAUCUAAUUGACUGUUGUAAAAACAGAGUCUGCUUGGUGCUGCGGGCGCAAAGCAGCGUCCUAUAACUUAGCCACUGCUGGUACUUAAUAUAUAAUGCAAUAUUCUACACUGUGCCAUUUGUCAUUCGGAGCGAGACACAGAUUAUGGCUCAGGGCAGUGCAUCUGUCCUGGAGGCUGCUGGGAAAUGGGAACUAAAAGCUCCUCCAGCUGAGCCGGGGCCGAUCCCACCAUGAACCCUGGAUCACCUUUGCUCCUCCGCUUUCCAGCACUCUAGCCUCACGCACACGCACACACACACACACCUUCUCGCCGUCUUACACACACACACACACUCUCUUGCUGUUCCCCCCUGGUUUGUCUCAACAUGCAGGAGUUGGCGGUUUCCGUGUGUUGUUGCACACUAACCUGAGCAGCAGCAGCGUCGCCCCUAACCGACCGCACAGAUCCCUACUGCUGUCUGCAGCAUCUCCUCUCUGCAGGCCGCCUCAGCCUGCUGGGGAGUCUAAAUCAACCAUAUUGAUAUCCUACUGGGGGCAGUCUGGUUGCUUUGACAAAUCCUCCCCAGCGUUUAUCAAUCAAGUCAUCCUCAGCAGAGGGGAGGACCUCUAAAGACGGAGCCAGGCCCGCCUGCGGGGGCGCGGCGGAGAAAGGAAAACGCGCUGCGGUCUGCGCCGACACGUCACCGCCACGCCUCCGCUCUAACAAUUUAUGCACACGUGCCGCAAAUUAAAAUGCAGGCGGGGUGUUGGGGAAUUGUCAGGCUUCAAAUGGUUGACAUAACUUACAAGC